CCUACGGGAGGCAGCAGUGGGGAAUCUUGCGCAAUGGGCGAAAGCCUGACGCAGCCAUGCCGCGUGUAUGAUGAAGGUCUUAGGAUUGUAAAAUACUUUCACCGGUGAAGAUAAUGACUGUAGCCGGAGAAGAAGCCCCGGCUAACUUCGUGCCAGCAGCCGCGGUAAUACGAAGGGGGCUAGCGUUGCUCGGAAUUACUGGGCGUAAAGGGAGCGUAGGCGGACAUUUAAGUCAGAGGUGAAAUCCCGGAGCUUAACUUCGGAACUGCCUUUGAUACUGGGUGUCUUGAGUGUGAGAGAGGUAUGUGGAACUCCGAGUGUAGAGGUGAAAUUCGUAGAUAUUCGGAAGAACACCAGUGGCGAAGGCGACAUACUGGCUCAUUACUGACGCUGAGGCUCGAAAGCGUGGGGAGCAAACAGGAUUAGAUACCCUGGUAGUCCACGCCGUAAACGAUGAUUGCUAGUUGUCGGGAAGCUUGCUUCUCGGUGACGCNGCUACGCAUAAGUACANCCGCCGUGGGAGGUACGGUCGCGAAGAAGUUAAACUAACGUAAAGUUAAAGUUAGUACGGCGUUGAGACGUUGCCGACGGACGACGACGAGGGAGGAGG
RNAcentral lists this ribosomal RNA (610 nucleotides) under uncultured bacterium. RNAcentral describes it as "bacterial SSU rRNA". The stretch from base 1 to 516 matches the Rfam family "Bacterial small subunit ribosomal RNA", at positions 338 to 873 of the family's 1533-position model. The record is from RNAcentral.